UAAUAUCAUUUUUCUCAUGACUUCCGAUUUGCAGACAUCAGAGAAGGAAAAAUGCUGGCAGAGAAGUCCUUGGAUGCAGCAGAGCAACAGCCUCAUCUACUGCCUGCAUGCCUUUGUGUGUCUCCAGAGUUGAGGGAGGGUGGUGUGAUAUGGAGGAGAGAGCUGGCCUAUGGCCUCAUGGAUCUUCAGUCAAACCCUAGCUCUGUGAUUCAUAAGCUGUAUGAUCCCUGGGAAAUUAGAGAACCUCUCUGAUCCUGUUUCCUCUUUGUAAAAUAAAUGAUCUGGACCAAAUCUCUAAAACUCUUUCAAACCUAAAGACUUCCUAAGCUGCAAGACUCAGGAAUGCCAACUGGGGCAUAUGAAAGCAUCUUCCUCACCCCACCCAUACAAUACAUUACCUGUAUUGGUCAGUGGCCUUUCUUCCAGGAAGAUAAAGAAUAUAUUGCACAUGAAUUAUGUCAUUUUAAUAAAAAUAAUAGUUUUUAAUA
This 488-nucleotide long non-coding RNA is filed under the name Marmota monax (woodchuck). Lineage: Eukaryota; Metazoa; Chordata; Mammalia; Rodentia; Sciuridae. The record is from RNAcentral.